AACUCUUCACUCAUCACUCGACCU
This 24-nucleotide non-coding RNA is filed under the name Arabidopsis thaliana (thale cress). The record is from RNAcentral. Lineage: Eukaryota; Viridiplantae; Streptophyta; Magnoliopsida; Brassicales; Brassicaceae.